UCCCAGGUGGCUCAAUAGGUAAAGAAUCUGCCUGCAAUUCAGGAGAUGCAGGAAAUGUGGGUUCAACCCCUGCAUUGGGAA
Molecule: transfer RNA, 81 nt
Filed under: Bos taurus (domestic cattle)
Lineage: Eukaryota; Metazoa; Chordata; Mammalia; Artiodactyla; Bovidae
Also listed under: 3 other names
Rfam family: tRNA
About the family: Transfer RNA (tRNA) molecules are approximately 80 nucleotides in length.
Source: Rfam by way of RNAcentral